GAGAAGAAAAAACAUUUUCUUUUUAAUAGUUGAUGAGUGUGCUUAACACAAUUGCCUGGUUUGUUUAUACUGGUUAGUUGUUGAAUGAUCUGCAUAGCUGAAUCUGAAAUCUGGGUUUUCAUAAUCUAAGGAAGAAUUCCCAUUGAGUAAUGUUUUCAGUUAACGACUGUACUGCUGUAAUCAAUGCUUAAGCAUAUGGUUAAAUGCAGCUAAUAUUGGGUCAUAAAUGCUGCACGUGGCCAGUGACCACCAAAGAGCCCUGGGCUUCUGGGUUUCCGUCCCUGACCCAUACAAUGACGGCAUUUGACCAUUUUGUAUGUCGGAUUUCCUGAACCAACAAUAACAAAAAUACAACUUAAAAACCAGUGAUCCAGACUGGCCUCUUACUCAUUUCACCCCUGUACAGGAUUGCACAAAGACGUGGAAACCAGAGCAGAUCAAAUUCGGAGCCUACCGACCUUGGCUGCUUGCCUUCAAGGAAUGUUUAUGCCUUUGAAAGACGUGCUAUCGUUUAGCUUUGUUGUAGCCUUCUUUCUGCUAUGUUAGUGUCCACCAUCAGUUUUUCCAGUGAACGAUUUAAGGUCCAUUCUUGGAUUUCCUUGACUGUUCAAACUAGUUGAUAUAACAGAGAAAAUAAGGAAGAGGGAUUAUGUAAUCUUCCAUUUUAAACGUGAUUCAUCUAUAAAAUCAUUCAGUCUUCCUAAACUAUGUGAAUGGAAUUUGUUUGCAUAAAUCUAAUGCCACCAAAGGCUUCUAAACCGUGCACUAAUUACGCGAUCUAAUUUUGGAGCUUUUCCAAUGUUAAUCUCUAAAUUAGUUAUCUUCUGCUUUUCUUUUAUGUGUCAUCUUUUGCUUUUUCACAUUUCAUUAGGUAUCAAAACCAAGAGAGACAAAGUACAAGCUAUUUAUAUUUUAUCAAGUCUCAAGAAAAUGGAAAAUGUUUUAUCCCAGUUAGAUCUACAGGAGAGCGAGAUGGGUCCUAGACCGAUGUUUUGGCACAAAAUAGAAGUACAAAUAAUUAUGGGCAGUGGUACCUUAAAACACUUUUUAAAAAUCAAUCCUAAGAAGGACAGUUGUUUUGCUGUAUUUGAUUUUCAUUUUUUUAAUUGAAAUGGACCUUCUUGUGCAGGCAUGUCUAUGUGUGUUGUAUGUAUGUUCAAACAUGUAUGUGUAUACAGUAUGUACCUGUAUGCAUGUACAAUGUAAGGAACAUUGACUGUUACAUCAGAAGACACGGGUUCAAGCCUGUCCCAUCAUCACUCGCUGACUGAAAGCAGGCAAGUCGUCCCCUACCAUUUAUGAACGUCAGCUUUCUCAUCUAAAAUUGGGGUUCACAGUGGUUUUCCAAACUGUUUCAAGGACUUGACAUAGAAAUCAAAGUAGAUAGUACACAUGAAGCUUUAUUGAUUAGAUGUAUAAGGUCCUAAUAACAUGUACUGGUGAGUGACAUAAUUACACCAAUAACCCAACAUAAGAUUUGGAGCAACUUACUUAACUUUGGGCCAUAUUUCUUUGUAGACAAAUGUGACUCAUAAAAGGUUUGUGGCGAAUACAAAGGGCACUGACUGUCAUGGAGGACAGACCUACUCGUUAGGACCCUUGUUUUUGUUUGUUUGUUUGUUUGUUUGUUUGUUUUUAAGGGACACAAACUCGACUUGAAGCAGUUCAAGCAAAUAAAAAAAAAAUGUUUAUUGAAAGCCUCAAGUAACCAUGGAAAAGAAGCCACAGAGCCUCAAAAACCACUGGAACCAGAAAUUUGAAUGCUAGCAAGACUUUCCCUCUUCUCACUGCAUACUGUUUCUGGUUUUCUCAAACUUCCUACACGUGGCUAGGACACAAGGCCACCAGCAGCCCCUGCCCCCACACCACCCCCUGCAUCUCACAAUUUUGCCAUAAGAAGAAAAAAAAAAACCAAAAAACCUACACUAAAAUUGCCCACCUCCUCAUCCCAAGCCUGAUCCCAGUUGAAGAGUCCCCAGAAAAGACGCUAGUCAGCUCAGGUCAGGUCAGGGGCCCCAGAUGGGAACAUGUCACUGGUAGCUCCCGUUUGAACCAGGUGGUUGGAGUCAGAGUGAAGCGGUUGUCCCCAAGAAAUGGGAUGGUGUUUCUAGAAACGAGGCAAGGUCCUAAGCAGUCAGCAGCAAAUGCUCACAAAAGUGCAGGAGGCUGGCCCGAGCGCUGGCCUUUCUUGCCAUUCUCUGGUGAAGGUGACCUUAGCCUCAUGGGUGAAGCUUUCUGUCAAGUGACAAACAAAACCUACUCCUGCCCUUCUGUAUUUGACGUGAGGAACAAAUUACAGAAUAGAUUUAAAUGUGCCUUUAGCGGUUUCAAGUGCUAAACCAGUAACCGGUAGAUUCACUGAUGCUGGUUCUCCCCAUGCACUUGAUCAGUGCCUGUGAUCCAAACCCCCCUUGUGUAUGUCCUCACGAAAGUACAGAGCCAAGGAUUAGAACCUUUCUCUAACUCUGUUUUGUUAGGAAACAGCACUCUUUUGGAGUUCUUUUCAUGGUUAAAAUUUGAUUCAUCUCCUGUUAAAUCAUGCAUGCGAUUUACUUGGGGCUAUUCCUGAAAUUUUUUCAAUUAGAAAAAUGUAAAUUACAAAAUACAUUAUUCAUCAUGUGCACACAGUUGACUGCGUUUUAGAGUAUCACCUGAAGAAACAACAGUAGAGUAACAACACAAAUAGAAAUUCGUUGAUAUCACACUAGUGGAAUAGACCCUAUUCCACUUGGGUCUAUUUGUAGAACUUUCCCACUCCUGAACAAUUUUCUCUGGUGAUUCUUGUCCGCCAAGGGACCUCUUCUGUUUGUCGAUGGUUGGGUCCAUCGUGUACACCAUUUGUGGCCCCACGGUGGGGACUCACGGCCCGUACUUGCGUUGCUCCGGUGGGUCAGCUAGAUGCAGCCUCUCUGUGUGGCUCAUGUGGCUACUGUCCACUAGGAAUGUAUCUCCACUUCGUUUUUACUGCGCACCCAUGCUAUAUGUCCAUCAUAUCCUUCAGGACCAAGUUGAAUGUACUGCUCUAGGAUAGAUCUUACACUGUUGUCCCUCUCUCUUUAGAAGAGCUUCUUUGUUUGGAUGAACAUGUGAUCCGAGCGUAUCCGUUGGCGCUUCUCAAAGACGUAGCUUUGUGCGUCUUCUCAAGUCGCUACGUGUGUAUGUUUGUCUCCCCAAAGGUAAAACCGGAGUGAGUGCCAGGUUACUUUGCAGGAUGACCGCAGUGACCUUCAGUGCCACCAGGAGAAAGCAAUCUGGUAUGUUGUUGUAAAAGUAGGACACACAGCAGCAACCUCAGCCAACUUCAUCAGUCUGCCCCAUUCCCGUGUGGACCUCUCACCUGACCGGGACUGGGGGUGGGAACUGGAAUAGGUCGGCCCUGGCCGCUGUGCCCCUGGGCCGGGGCCGUGGGAGCUGUGAGAGGACAGAGCAUCUCCUGCCCAAGGCUGCAGUGGGAGAGCUGGAGGGUAAAUGCUGAAAAUAAUAUUCUGGGCUGAGGGCCAAGGUCAUGGCCAAUGAGUGUGUCCAAACCAUGUCAUAAAUUAAAGUAACUAUUGGAAAACUGGGAGCUGAGUUGCGGAGCCAAAAUGAGCGGUGCUGGGCCACAGAACGAGCCAAGAAUGAAGAGAGGGACGAAGUGCAGCAGACCACACUGUCAAAGGUCAGCUAGGCGCUGUGCUGGCAGGCUGGCCAGGCCCAGGAGGGAGCCAGGCCCCCGGAGACGCAGCAGGCAGAAGCGUGCUGGCUCAUCUACGGGAUCCUUCCAUCUGUUCCCAGGGAUCCUCCAAGUUAACGCUAACUUAAAAGCUCUUCACAGAUGGGCAAGAAAUUCGAUUCUUCUGUUAUCCUAAUCCCCAAACAAGCCACGAUACACACAGAGGCAAUUUCAGGUUGAGUCAUGUUACCUUUCUCCAAAUUGCAGGCAAUCCCCACUUCUCUGGAGCCCUACAGCACAGACAGAGCACCCCGCCUGGAGUGCAGAGGAAAACCCUAGCAGCUGAAGAUGCUAAGGCAGCGAGGAAAGCCACACCGCAUGCCUGAUUGACUCCAUUGAAACAGCGUGCAACUCUUGAUCUCGGGUUAGUGAGUUCAAGCCCCAAGUCAGCUUCCUGUCCAACGUUAUGGGAAAAAGAAUCAGGAAUCUUGAGCCAAAGAAGCCCCCAGAUCAUGAAAUGACCAUCCCACCAUUUGGAACGUCUUCCCAUGCAGAACUUGAUAGUCCUUUGGAAACGGGAGUCCACUGUUUUUUUGGCGAAAGUUGAUCACAUAAGAAACUUGUCGCAGCCAAAUGAAAUGUGCAAUCUGACACUGGUGCUUGGUCCCUCCCAUUACAGGAAGCCCGCGGUGUUAGCUCACAUCCAGUCUAUCUGAGCUGUAAAAAUAAAACAGCAGGAGCCAUAGGAGUGCAGGCCAGUGACGCUAUCGCUGUACCUAAGGACAAGCGAGUAAUUGGUGGGGGGCAUUCCUGCAGUUGCUGUACAAUAGUAUUUCUCAACCUUUUUCAUGGACUUUCCCCCUAAGAUGUCUUUUCAGAUGUUUCUUCCAAAAUGCCCUCACCAGAGAAGUUCCAGCAUCACAGAAAUACUGCUCACUUUUUUACGUACUAUAUGUUUAUCUGUGCUUCAUACAUUAAAAUAAUGUGAUUUUUGCCCCCCACCCCCACCCCCAAACCAAUUUUCAUCACCUUGUCGGAGGAAGGAUGAUAUUACCUUGGCUGAGAAAGUUCUAGACUGGAUGAAUUCUUCUUGACUAUGAAAAGAGACCAAGGGGAAAAAACGUGGGCUCCAGUCAGUCAGGCUUUGGGUUGAGUCCUGCCUCUGCCUCUCAGGCAAAUGACCUAAUCUUCUUAUACCUCUGUUUUACUCAUCUGUAGAAUGGAGAUAAAAAUAUUGUCUCCCUCCUUGAGUUGUUGUGAGCAUUCCAUGAGCUAAUGCAUAUUCAUUAGGAAUUUGGAGCACCCAGUAGGUGCUCUCUAAAUGUGAGCUAGUUUCACUGUUUUUAUGAACACAGGAACAUUCUGGCAGCGCGGCCAGUUUCCGAAUCUCUUGUUUUCUGUUAGUUGCCAUUUUGGAUUCUUUAACCUUACGAAGGGGCUUUAUGACAUCUGGGAGCAGCCACUUAUUUCGGGAUGAAGUUUCUUACGAAAUCGCUGCUCAGAAAGGUACAGGGCAUCUUCCUCUUCCAGCUCGAGUCAGAUCUCCCAAACACUCACGAAGGCCCUUCAGAGCGAUGAGGCUGAGAUCACAGACAGCGUUUGCCUGAUCUAAAAUAUGCACGGUAACACGGUCUUAAUUAGAUGUACAUGUCUCUGAAGAUAUAAAUAAAUGCUUCCCUUUUU
Neofelis nebulosa (Clouded leopard) is the source of this 5335-nucleotide long non-coding RNA. RefSeq lists it as uncharacterized. Lineage: Eukaryota; Metazoa; Chordata; Mammalia; Carnivora; Felidae. The transcript has 3 exons. The record is from RefSeq and is a predicted model, not a curated record.